Small nuclear RNA from Microtus ochrogaster (prairie vole), 103 nucleotides. Lineage: Eukaryota; Metazoa; Chordata; Mammalia; Rodentia; Cricetidae. The record is from Ensembl.
GUGCUGACUUCAGCAGCACAUACCAAGAUGAAUGAUACAGACGAGAGUAGCAUGGUCCCUGUGCAAGGUUGACACACUAACUUAUGAAGGAUUCCAUAUUAAU